GCCAUCCCAGCAGCGACGACUCUUUAGUUUUUCUGUGGAGAGAAACGCAACAACAUCAUAAAUUUGUGAAGCAAAGCUAAGGUUGGUUGUUCUGUGUAUCCAAAUCUCCACAUCAAGUCUAAGGAUGAGUUAACUGGCAACUUGGUCUGGCUUAAAAGAGAUAGACAGGUUUCUUUGGAUGGCAUGACAGCUUCAGCAGUUGCCACAUCAUACUGCUGGCAAGGAUGGCCCUCGACUUAAAGCUUCACCUCACAAGGUCAUGAUCACUUGAACUAACUUGAACUCGCCUGGUAGUUAUUACUUUCUAUUCUAAAAUAUAUAUAUUUCUUAUUUCAAGAUAUUUAUUUUAUUAAAACAAACAUAUAUCUCUUAUCCCAGGAUAAUCAUUUUAGUACCAUCCCUCUAAAAGGUCCAAAUUGUUGAAGUAGAGAGAAGAAAUUGUUCCCUCUAUGUUCCAUAUGGAAAUUUCUUUUCCCUUUUUCUAUGGUUUCAUUUGUUGUCCUGCAAAAAAAAGACACAAACACAGUUUUACAGAUAGGAAAGUUUUAACGUGUAACAAGAGGUUUUUACUAGAGUAGGUGUCUCUUCUUGUAUGUACACAAAAUUCCCAUAAUUUUAACUGCCCAAAGCUCAGCUUCAUCAUAUUUUUUCGUUAGAAUUUAUUUUUGUAGUAGUUGUCACCCUUUUGUUAUAGUUGUGAAAUUGACCAUACAGUAAUCAAAUAGCUUUUAUUCCCUGUGGUGUUUGUUUAGGUGAAUUCAGAGAUCCAUCCCUCUUCACAGGCCUUUCUUUUUCUCUUUCUUGUUUUGAGCCUAGUUUGGAAAGGAUGAUUGGACAUUUUAGAUCAUUUGGUCUGGUGGCCCGCAUAAGAUUUUAUCAAGAUCCAAACUUUGUGCCACUAGAUAUUUUGGAAGAUAUCAAAUGCACUUCAUCACAUGGCAGGCAUGCUGGUAGUAGGGCGAUAGAAAUAGAUAAAAAUCCAAAAUCCUAUAAUCAAUAACAAAACGUCAGAGUAAUAUACUUUUGUCCCUCUGUACUAACUUGAAUCUCAGAUUUCUUACCCAGUUUUCUAAAUUCUUCUAAUUAAAAAGUUUUGGCAUGUUAGUUGAUAACACAAUUGAAAUUCAAUUUAAAUUGACGUUAAAUGAGUUUAGUAGUUCAGUUUUAGACAAUAUACUGUUUAAUUUUGUGUCUGUGAUUUAUUCUUUAUUCCCAUAUGAGGGAGGGCUGCUUAACUUCUUUCAUUCUUUCUUUCAAUCUAUUUGUUUUAAUUUCUUUUGAAUGGACAAUCAGUUGUGAUGGUCUUUACUGUUAGAUUGUGAAACAAUGACAAGAGUCAGGGACAGGACUGAGGAUUUUAAAGAU
Molecule: unclassified non-coding RNA, 1365 nt
Filed under: Hevea brasiliensis (rubber tree)
Lineage: Eukaryota; Viridiplantae; Streptophyta; Magnoliopsida; Malpighiales; Euphorbiaceae
Source: RNAcentral